Clupea harengus (Atlantic herring) is the source of this 1130-nucleotide long non-coding RNA. The record is from Ensembl. Lineage: Eukaryota; Metazoa; Chordata; Actinopteri; Clupeiformes; Clupeidae.
UGAAACGCUGCGAAACAAAGUAAAACUAAGUCCUGUCUUUGAAAUAACUUUUUCAGCUCCUUUUGUAGAGAAUACUGCAAACAAGACUUUGUACUAUUUACUUUAAAAAAAAAAACGUACUGUUGGCUCAUAAUAAAGGAUCACAUGGAAAGAAGUGGUUACUCCAUUUAUUUUCUCAUGCAUUAAAUGGGCUAUUUGGGACAAAAGAAAAUCUCUCUAAAGAGGUUUCUAAAUGGCCUCACAUAUUCUUGGAAUGAUUCAGGCGGCACAUUUCCCCCUGCUAAAAGCUUGAAUGGUCUUUGCUUAUGAAACUGUGAUGGGAAUCUGAACUUAAAUGGCAUCAGUGGACUCUCCGGUUACCUGAAGUGGGUUAUAUUGCUUUCUCAGCACGGUGCAGUGACAGCAGGGAUUAAGAUAUGAUCCUCAUCUCCGCAUGUCUGCUAAACCCGAUGGAUUAAGUGAAUUAUGUCAUUUGAGAAUCACAGGGUUUUUUUCCAGCAAUUAUUACAAACUUCACACCUUUUUUCUACCAACAUACCCAACCGUAAAAGGUGUUUUCAUAACUGUUGCGAAUCUAGCAAGAAUCAGGUGAACCCGACCAGAACGAAAGGGAUCCGUCAUCCAUGGCCAAAAGUGGAGAAGUAUGUACGGCGCACUUAAAGUUCAGAGCAAGGAAGGAACAUCAGAAGUUUUCACUCCAAAGUGUUACUUUAUUUGGCGCCAUAAUGCCCUGCCUUGAGGUAAAUGAUUCAAUAAAAACCUGUUUUCGCCCCAAAAAAAAAGUGUGUUAAAUUUAAUCUUUCCGAAAUGAAUGCACUACCACUUUUCUGCUCAUCACUUAUUCAUCCGGUGCAAAUGUUUUUCUCUGUUACUGAACAGAAGUUCUCCAAGCCGAGCUGGUCCACAGCACACAGAUAACACAGAGUCGAGAUGAAUGGAUGGGCAUUAGCUGGCAGGCCAGUGUGCCAGACUGCCUUUGGAGAGGAGCUGGAGGAGCAUCUGCCUUCAUAUUAGGGAGGCUGGCACCGGCCCUGCAGAGAUCUCGGGAAAAAAAAAAAAAACCAAAAGGUAGUGAAAGGGAGUGAACGCCAGCUCCAAACCCAUGUCCUUGUGCUAAAAAAAAAACCCAC